This 66-nucleotide transfer RNA is filed under the name Serratella sp. Liaoning-2019. Its description in RNAcentral is "tRNA-Asp". It matches the Rfam family "tRNA". Rfam says of the family: Transfer RNA (tRNA) molecules are approximately 80 nucleotides in length. Their secondary structure includes four short double-helical elements and three loops (D, anti-codon, and T loops). Lineage: Eukaryota; Metazoa; Arthropoda; Insecta; Ephemeroptera; Ephemerellidae. The record is from RNAcentral.
AAAAGGUUAGUUAAAUUAACAUUAGUAUGUCACGCUAAAAUUAAGGGUUCAAGCCCUUACCUUUUG